AUUGUUUAGAUCUGAAAUCAGGUGGGACUACCCGCUGAACUUAAGCAUAUCAAUAAGCGGAGGAAAAGAAACUAACAAGGAUUCCCCUAGUAACGGCGAGUGAAGCGGGAAAAGCUCAAAUUUAAAAUCUGGCAGGUACCCUGUCCGAGUUGUAGUUUCAAGAAGCGUUUUCGGUGCGCGUCCGGGUAUAAGUUCUUUGGAACAGGACAUCAUAGAGGGUGAGAAUCCCGUUUAUGACCCGGAACUGCGUACUAUGUGAUACGUUUUCUAAGAGUCAGGUUGUUUGGGAAUGCAGCCUAAAAUGGGUGGUAAAUUUCAUCUAAAGCUAAAUAUUGGCGAGAGACCGAUAGCGAACAAGUACCGUGAGGGAAAGAUGAAAAGAACUUUGAAAAGAGAGUUAAACAGUACGUGAAAUUGUUGAAAGGGAAACGUUUGAAAUCAGUCGUGCGGGCGGGUAAUCAGCUUGGCCUUUGGGUCUUGUGCACUUUCUCGUCUCGCAGGCCAGCGUCGGUUUUGUUUGCCGGAUAAAUGCCAAAGGAAUGUAGCUCCACCUUUCACGAGGAGGGGUCUUAUAGCCCUGGUAAAUACGGCGGUCGAGACCGAGGUCUGCAGUUGAUGCCUCUCGGGGCUGGGGACUCCAUCGCUCAUUCGCACCCGCGCCUAGACAGCUUGCUGACUAGGUGUGUGGUCUGUGGGUGACACGGUGGGCUUACCACACAUCGACUUGGGU
RNAcentral lists this ribosomal RNA (730 nucleotides) under Jimgerdemannia lactiflua. RNAcentral describes it as "eukaryotic LSU rRNA". It matches the Rfam family "Eukaryotic large subunit ribosomal RNA", at positions 1 to 618 of the family's 3401-position model. The record is from RNAcentral. Lineage: Eukaryota; Fungi; Mucoromycota; Endogonomycetes; Endogonales; Endogonaceae.